This 439-nucleotide ribosomal RNA is filed under the name Hornera foliacea. RNAcentral describes it as "partial 16S ribosomal RNA". The record is from RNAcentral. Lineage: Eukaryota; Metazoa; Bryozoa; Stenolaemata; Cyclostomatida; Horneridae.
GAACGAAAUCAUAAGAAUCAGAUGAAAAAUAUAUAUUGAUAGUUUUGAUCAAUGAAAAUAAUGUAGAAAUUAGUAUAAUUUUUUUAACUUUAUCCAUUGUUUGUAAAUGGAAGAUAAGGAACUAGGCAAAUUAAUUAUUAGGCUGUUUAUUAAAAACAUAGUUCAAAGAAUUUAAUUUGAAUGUUAACUGCUCAAUGAUUUAUCAAUUAAAUAGAUUGAAUAUAUCAAAGUAACAUAAUAAUCUGUCUCUUAAUUAGGGAAUAGUAUGAAUGUUUACACUAAAUAAUCACUGUCUCAUUUUUGCUAUUAAAAUUUAAUCAUAAAGUGAAGAAGCUUUAAUUUAACAGAAAGACGAGAAGACCCUAGUAAUUUAAAAUUAAGAUAAUNNNNNNCAUAUUUUUAGUUGGGGUAACUAAAGAAAUUCAUUCUUGAUAUUGAU